UACAUGGGGUGCAAACGUUGCUCGGAAUUAUUGGGCGUAAAGCGCACGUAGGCGGUUUGUUAAGUCGGAUGUGAAAUCCCUCGGCUCAACUGAGGAAGUGCAUCCGAAACUGGCAGGCUUGAGUACUAAAGAGGGUCGCGGAAUUCCCGGUGUAGAGGUGAAAUUCGUAGAUAUCGGGAGGAACACCAGUGGCGAAGGCGGCUCACUGGACCGGUACUGACGCUGAGGCGCGAAAGCGUGGGGAGCAAACAGG
This 253-nucleotide ribosomal RNA is filed under the name uncultured bacterium. Its description in RNAcentral is "partial 16S ribosomal RNA". It matches the Rfam family "Bacterial small subunit ribosomal RNA", at positions 524 to 776 of the family's 1533-position model. The record is from RNAcentral.